This 253-nucleotide ribosomal RNA is filed under the name uncultured bacterium. RNAcentral's name for it is "partial 16S ribosomal RNA". It matches the Rfam family "Bacterial small subunit ribosomal RNA", at positions 524 to 776 of the family's 1533-position model. The record is from RNAcentral.
UACAGAGGUCUCAAGCGUUGUUCGGAUUCAUUGGGCGUAAAGGGUGCGUAGGUGGCGCGCUAAGUCAGGUGUGAAAUUUCGGAGCUUAACUCCGAAACUGCAUUUGAUACUGGCGUGCUUGAGGACUGGAGAGGAGACUGGAAUUCAUGGUGUAGCAGUGAAAUGCGUAGAGAUCAUGAGGAAGACCAGUGGCGAAGGCGGCCACCUGGACUGCACCUGACGCUGAAACGCGAAGGCUAGGGGAGCGAACGGG